AGCGAACGCUGGCGGCAGGCCUACACAUGCAAGUCGAACGAAGUCUUCGGACUUAGUGGCGGACGGGUGAGUAACACGUGGGAACGUACCUUUUGGUUCGGAACAACUCAGGGAAACUUGAGCUAAUACCGGAUGAGCCCUUCGGGGGAAAGAUUUAUCGCCAUUAGAGCGGCCCGCGUUAGAUUAGCUAGUUGGUGAGGUAAAGGCUCACCAAGGCUACGAUCUAUAGCUGGUCUGAGAGGAUGAUCAGCCACACUGGGACUGAGACACGGCCCAGACUCCUACGGGAGGCAGCAGUGGGGAAUCUUGCGCAAUGGGCGAAAGCCUGACGCAGCCAUGCCGCGUGAAUGAUGAAGGUCUUAGGAUUGUAAAAUUCUUUUACCAGGGACGAUAAUGACGGUACCUGGAGAAAAAGCCCCGGCUAACUUCGUGCCAGCAGCCGCCGUAA
Molecule: ribosomal RNA, 448 nt
Filed under: uncultured bacterium
Lineage: Bacteria
Description: partial 16S ribosomal RNA
Rfam family: Bacterial small subunit ribosomal RNA
Source: RNAcentral